GACGAACGCUGGCGGCGUGCCUAAUACAUGCAAGUCGAGCGCAGGAAGCUGACGGAACUCUUCGGAGGGAAGGCAGUGGAAUGAGCGGCGGACGGGUGAGUAACACGUAAGGAACCUGCCUCAAGGAUUGGGAUAACUCCGAGAAAUCGGAGCUAAUACCGGAUAGUUCAACGGACCGCAUGGUCCGCUGAUGAAAGGCGCUCCGGCGUCACCUUGAGAUGGCCUUGCGGUGCAUUAGCUAGUUGGUGGGGUAACGGCCCACCAAGGCGACGAUGCAUAGCCGACCUGAGAGGGUGGUCGGCCCCACUGGGACUGAGACACGGCCCAGACUCCUACGGGAGGCAGCAGUAGGGAAUCUUCCACAAUGGACGAAAGUCUGAUGGAGCAACGCCGCGUGAGUGAUGAAGGUUUUCGGAUCGUAAAACUCUGUUGUAAGGGAAGAACACGUACGAGAGGAAAUGCUCGUACCUUGACGGUACCUUACGAGAAAGCCACGGCUAACUACGUGCCAGCCGCCGCCGUAA
RNAcentral lists this ribosomal RNA (524 nucleotides) under uncultured bacterium. RNAcentral describes it as "partial 16S ribosomal RNA". It matches the Rfam family "Bacterial small subunit ribosomal RNA", at positions 28 to 523 of the family's 1533-position model. The record is from RNAcentral.